Molecule: non-coding RNA, 101 nt
Filed under: Betaproteobacteria bacterium
Lineage: Bacteria; Pseudomonadati; Pseudomonadota; Betaproteobacteria
Description: TPP sequence
Rfam family: TPP riboswitch aptamer (THI element)
About the family: Vitamin B(1) in its active form thiamin pyrophosphate (TPP) is an essential coenzyme that is synthesised by coupling of pyrimidine and thiazole moieties in bacteria.
Source: RNAcentral
GCAACACGUUAGGGGUCCUCACGGCGAGCGCCGCGGGGUGAGAUAGACCCUUAUAACCUGAUGCGGGUAAUGCCGUCGUAGGGAAGCGUGGUGUAGCCCCC